GGCUUUAUCAUCGGUGUCCUCUUACAGGCUGUAUCUUAAAUCAAGGCAUGAAAUCGAGCCCUUCGCUGGGCUUGCUGUCUGUGCGUGAGCCACAUCAGCGGCUGGCAGCACUCCCGAGCCCUGGCAUCCUUCCUCAGCAGCCUCGAGUCCAAUUAGGCUUCACCUCAGUUUUGAGUACAGCUUCCCCCUGUCACUGGGCCUGCUCCUGCCACGCUUUCAGGGUUCUCCAUACCCCAUUAAGCCCCAGGAAUCGGAUUUUGGACUUGUGGAGCAAGCUGAGGCUCAGUUCCAGCAUUGCUGUUUGGGUACCGCUGCUCUCUUUGCAGAACGGAUCCAAAGAGAGAGGGAAAACGGAGUGAGAUGCAAACAGAGAGGGGGAUGGCUGUGACACCCCAUCCUUCCCCUGCACGGGAUCCCCGCCAGCUCUGCAAGCACCGGGCUGGUGCCAGCUAUCUCGUCCCAUCCCCGUCCUCCGGCAUCCUCCAGCAGUGUCCGUCCGGAGCCAUGCGGCUGUCCUGGGAGGGACCCAUCCCCUGGGAAAGCCAGUGGAAACCGGAGUUAGUCCUCAUCUGUUUAACUAGCUCUUUGUUAGGUAUGCUUUCUAUAAACACAGAUUAAAAGAAAACAAACAACAAAAAAUAAAGACACUGGAAUUACUCUGAGGAAACUGUAGCUUUGUGGGCCAAAUUAAACUUCAUAUAAUAGCUCUUCUUUAUAUGAGAAGAGAAUAAUGUCUUCAAUUAUAUCAAGGCAUGUAAUUACACACUUAUGCAGUAAAUUAAAUACUUUUCUUUUUUAGCCCAAAUCAGGUUGAAUAUCAAUUACAGCUUCCAAAAACAUAUGUAGUUAAAAAAAAAUCCACUUCAUAUAUUUAACUUUUCAAGAUAAUUUUAUUAAUAUGUCCAACAAUUAUAAUUUAAUGUACAAAUUGCUUGGCAUAGAGUUUUUGAUGUAGUGCAAAACCAGCAGUUUAAAAGGAUUGAAGAAUGCCAAACUCCAGGGAGAACUGCACUAAGCAAACCUAUCUGUGCAAAGAAAACUCUGUAUUUUCAAAGAUUGUUAUCAAAAUGGAUGCUGACUAAUGGCUUGUCUAGCCAAGAACAAUAUGUUUGCUUCUUACAGGGUUCCUUAUUUUACUGUGUAUGUUUAGCCUCCCCGUGUCAUUUCCGUCACAAAUUCAUCACAGAGAGGCAGCAAUACAGUAUUUGAUAAAGCGAUGCCUCUCGUUUCCACAAGCUGAAAGCACAGACAAAUUGUUCAAAAAUACUGAGCAAAAUUUUCAGACUGGAGCUGGAAGGGAAAAAUGAAGGCUAUUUAUUUGGUUUAGCCAGUUCUGUUUAAGUGGGAAAAUACUGCAAACUGAAAAACUGUGUUGAAAAUGUCAUGAUUCUCAAAAAUAAUUCAGCCAAUUAUAGAAAAGUCACUAAAAUAUUGCUUUUUAAGUAUGGAUACAUAUUCCUGAAUACACAUUAUGAAUAAAACGUUUUUUCAGACAAUAUUUACUGAUGGUUUCUAAUGUUUCAAAUCGGACUUUCACUGUACCUAUUUUUCAUUACAGCAUUCAAUCCAGCAUGUAAGCAUAUAUUUCAUCAUAGUUCUGUAGCUAUGGACCUUAACUGAUUAUUUGCUUAAAGUUAAGCAUGAGCUUAAGUACUCGGCUGCGUUGGCGCUUACAUGGACAUUCCCACCAGUAUAAUAUUGCUAACCCCUCCUGUGAUUACCGUAUUCCCCAUAACAGGAACCCCAAUAUUACUAAGGACUUGGCCAAUCUUGUCCAAUGUCAACAGAAUGGGAGGUGCCAUUUCAUUAAUUUCCCCUGACUAGGGACAAAAAUAACUUCAUAUAUUUCUUGGUUUUGUGUUUCAAACUCCAGGAGAACAAUUUUCUUAAAAAGUAAAAAAAUUGGUUAUAUUAUACCCUAGUUGGUUACAUUAGACUGUAAUUUCACAAGGCAUCAGUGAUUCCAGAGACUGAUUUUUGACAAGAAAAAAAAUGACCACACAUUUGCUAACAUCAAUAGUCACCUUUCCUCAUGCAUAAAGCAUAUGAACACAUUUUUGGCUGUCAGUAUUUGAACAACUGAAAAUGGGAAGGAAGAAGUAUAGACAUGUUUUAACUUUCUGACAAACUGUUUUGAUGAACGGGGAUCCCCGCACUGGCUAAAGAGUGAGGACAGAAAAAUGGGUCCCUGUGGUGCAGGGCAAGAUCUCCUCUAAUAACAGAAUGAGUGAGCAAAUCAGGGGAACCACAACUUUCCUACUGUGUGAGAGACCACAAAUAAUGGAAGAUAAACAGAUACGAGAAGGAGCAAUUCAUUUUCCAUGCCCAUUAAGUUUUCCAGGUAGAAAUGGGUGUCAAUGUAUUUAUGAUUUGGUCUCUUAUGUCUCUUCAGGUCUUCCUUAAAGCAGACUGAAGAUGGAUUUGGGGUUUUGGUCCAUUUUGUAGCGUAUUCAGCCCGUGUUUGAUAACGGGCUAAAACGAACUCUUGUAAAUCUUUCUGCAGCUAUGUAAAGCAGGACUCCAUUACAAAUCUGUAGCUACCCAAACGGUUAAAAUCCUGGUAUAAUAAAGGCCAUGUGCACAACUUCUGAAACUAUUGCAA
Oxyura jamaicensis (ruddy duck) is the source of this 2602-nucleotide long non-coding RNA. RefSeq lists it as uncharacterized. NCBI's taxonomy places the organism in Eukaryota, Metazoa, Chordata, Aves, Anseriformes, Anatidae. The record is from RefSeq and is a predicted model, not a curated record. The transcript has 2 exons.